GACGAACGCUGGCGGCAUGCCUAAUACAUGCAAGUCGAGCGAACAGAUGAAGUGCUUGCACUUCUGACGUUAGCGGCGAACGGGUGAGUAACACGUAAGGAAUCUACCUAUAAGCGGGGGAUAACAUUCGGAAACGGGUGCUAAUACCGCAUAAUAUCUUCUUCCGCAUGGAAGAAGAUUGAAAGACGGCUCUGCUGUCACUUAUAGAUGACCUUGCGGUGCAUUAGUUAGUUGGUGGGGUAGUGGCCUACCAAGACGAUGAUGCAUAGCCGACCGGAGAGGGUGAUCGGCCACAUUGGGACUGAGACACGGCCCAAACUCCUACGGGAGGCAGCAGUAGGGAACCUUCCGCAAUGGGCGAAAGCCUGACGGAGCAAUGCCGCGUGAGUGAAGAAGGCCUUCGGGUCGUAAAACUCUGUUAUAAGAGAAGAACAAAUUGUAGAGUAACUGCUACAGUCUUGACGGUAUCUUAUCAGAAAGCCACGGCUAACUACGUGCCAGCAGCCGCGGUAA
RNAcentral lists this ribosomal RNA (513 nucleotides) under uncultured bacterium. Its description in RNAcentral is "partial 16S ribosomal RNA". It matches the Rfam family "Bacterial small subunit ribosomal RNA", at positions 28 to 523 of the family's 1533-position model. The record is from RNAcentral.